This 533-nucleotide ribosomal RNA is filed under the name Cortinarius sp. YM1925. RNAcentral's name for it is "eukaryotic LSU rRNA". The stretch from base 149 to 302 matches the Rfam family "5.8S ribosomal RNA". Lineage: Eukaryota; Fungi; Basidiomycota; Agaricomycetes; Agaricales; Cortinariaceae. The record is from RNAcentral.
GGGUUGUUGCUGGUUCUCUAGGGAGCAUGUGCACACCUUGUCAUCUUUAUAUCUCCACCUGUGCACUUUUUGUAGACCUGAAAGGUCUAUGUUGCUUCAUUUACACCAAUGUAUGUUAAUAGAAUGUUGUGACUUAUAUAAUAUAUACAACUUUCAGCAACGGAUCUCUUGGCUCUCGCAUCGAUGAAGAACGCAGCGAAAUGCGAUAAGUAAUGUGAAUUGCAGAAUUCAGUGAAUCAUCGAAUCUUUGAACGCACCUUGCGCUCCUUGGUAUUCCGAGGAGCAUGCCUGUUUGAGUGUCAUUAAUAUAUCAACCUUCUCUUAUUUGAGUUGUUUGGAUGUGGGGGUUUGCUGGACUCUUAAAUGAUUCAGCUCCCCUGAAAUGCAUUAGCAGAACAAACCUGUUCAUUGGCGUGAUAAUUAUCUAUGCUAUUGAAUGGUGAGGGAAGUUCAGCUUUCUAAUCGUCCUUGGACAAUUUAUCAUUAAUGUGACCUCAAAUCAGGUAGGACUACCCGCUGAACUUAAGCAUAUC